AGGGAAUCUUCCGCAAUGGACGAAAGUCUGACGGAGCAACGCCGCGUGAGUGAUGAAGGUUUUCGGAUCGCAAAGCUCUGUUGCCAGGGAAGAACGUCUUCUGGAGUAACUGCCAGGAGAGUGACGGUACCUGAGAAGAAAGCCCCGGCUAACUACGUGCCAGCAGCCGCGGUAAUACGUAGGGGGCAAGCGUUGUCCGGAAUUAUUGGGCGUAAAGCGCGCGCAGGCGGCUGCUUAAGUCUGGUGUAUAAUCCUGGGGCUCAACUCCGGGUCGCACUGGAAACUGGAUGGCUUGAGUGCAGAAGAGGAGAGUGGAAUUCCACGUGUAGCGGUGAAAUGCGUAGAGAUGUGGAGGAACACCAGUGGCGAAGGCGGCUCUCUGGUCUGUAACUGACGCUGAGGCGCGAAAGCGUGGGGAGCAAAC
RNAcentral lists this ribosomal RNA (424 nucleotides) under uncultured bacterium. Its description in RNAcentral is "bacterial SSU rRNA". It matches the Rfam family "Bacterial small subunit ribosomal RNA", at positions 356 to 773 of the family's 1533-position model. The record is from RNAcentral.